UGACAGCUGGAUGACUACGGCUACAAGCUGUGGGAGAUUAAUCACUGACUCAAUCAAUUUCAGCUCGACAAUCGGGAUCCAUCCGGCAUUCUUGGCAUCAAUACUCAUCCUCCAUUUUUUGGAUGAAUUUUGGACAAAUUGAUUCCAGCUCGAUUCAAAAUACCGCGGAUGGAGCCUUACGAUGGCUUCACUAAUCUGCUCAAUCAUUUGGAGAGCUACAAGGUUCUCAUGAUGCUUCAAGAGGCUUCUGACACCCUUCUCUGCAUAGCCUUCUCAAUGAUCCUUCAAAAAACUAUUGGAGCUUGGUACUCCAGGCUUCAACUG
Molecule: long non-coding RNA, 324 nt
Filed under: Elaeis guineensis (African oil palm)
Lineage: Eukaryota; Viridiplantae; Streptophyta; Magnoliopsida; Arecales; Arecaceae
Description: long non-coding RNA (EGUI_LNC026036)
Source: RNAcentral